CACUCCUACGGGAGGCAGCAGUGGGGAAUAUUGGACAAUGGGCGCAAGCCUGAUCCAGCCAUGCCGCGUGAGUGAUGAAGGCCCUAGGGUUGUAAAGCUCUUUCACCGGUGAAGAUAAUGACGGUAACCGGAGAAGAAGCCCCGGCUAACUUCGUGCCAGCAGCCGCGGUAAUACGAAGGGGGCUAGCGUUGUUCGGAUUUACUGGGCGUAAAGCGCACGUAGGCGGACUAUUAAGUCAGGGGUGAAAUCCCGGGGCUCAACCCCGGAACUGCCUUUGAUACUGGUAGUCUUGAGUUCGGGAGAGGUGAGUGGAAUUCCGAGUGUAGAGGUGAAAUUCGUAGAUAUUCGGAGGAACACCAGUGGCGAAGGCGGCUCACUGGCUCGAUACUGACGCUGAGGUGCGAAAGCGUGGGGAGCAAACAGGAUUAGAUACCCGAGUAGUCCC
RNAcentral lists this ribosomal RNA (446 nucleotides) under uncultured organism. RNAcentral describes it as "partial 16S ribosomal RNA". It matches the Rfam family "Bacterial small subunit ribosomal RNA", at positions 334 to 797 of the family's 1533-position model. The record is from RNAcentral.